Molecule: ribosomal RNA, 46 nt
Filed under: Cloacina bancroftorum
Lineage: Eukaryota; Metazoa; Nematoda; Chromadorea; Rhabditida; Strongylidae
Description: partial 28S ribosomal RNA
Source: RNAcentral
UGCAACCUGAGCUCAGUCGUGACUACCCGCUGAACUUAAGCAUAUC